Molecule: ribosomal RNA, 499 nt
Filed under: uncultured organism
Description: bacterial SSU rRNA
Rfam family: Bacterial small subunit ribosomal RNA
Source: RNAcentral
GAUGAACGCUGGCGGCGUGCUUAACACAUGCAAGUCGAACGAAGCACUUGAGUGGAUUCCCUUCGGGGGUGAAGCUUAAGUGACUGAGUGGCGGACGGGUGAGUAACGCGUGGGUAACCUGCCUCAUACAGGGGGAUAACAGUUGGAAACGACUGCUAAUACCGCAUAAGCGCACAGUGCCGCAUGGCAUCGUGUGAAAAAAUUCAUUGGUAUGAGAUGGACCCGCGUCUGAUUAGCUGGUUGGUGAGGUAAUGGCCCACCAAGGCGACGAUCAGUAGCCGGCUUGAGAGAGUGAACGGCCACAUUGGGACUGAGACACGGCCCAAACUCCUACGGGAGGCAGCAGUGGGGAAUAUUGCACAAUGGGGGAAACCCUGAUGCAGCGACGCCGCGUGAGUGAAGAAGUAUUUCGGUAUGUAAAGCUCUAUCAGCAGGGACGAAAGAAGUUGAAAGAUACUUCCUGACGGUACCUGACUAAGAAGCCCCGGCUAACUACGUG